RNAcentral lists this small RNA (78 nucleotides) under Flavobacterium swingsii. Its description in RNAcentral is "Flavo-1 RNA". It matches the Rfam family "Flavo-1 RNA". Lineage: Bacteria; Pseudomonadati; Bacteroidota; Flavobacteriia; Flavobacteriales; Flavobacteriaceae. The record is from RNAcentral.
UAAUAGCCCAGAUAGUAGCGAUAUCCUUUUUCUUGCUCCUUUAGCAAGGAAAAGAUAUAGCGCAUAGCUGGAAAUAGC